Molecule: ribosomal RNA, 424 nt
Filed under: uncultured bacterium
Lineage: Bacteria
Description: partial 16S ribosomal RNA
Rfam family: Bacterial small subunit ribosomal RNA
Source: RNAcentral
GUUAGGAAUAUUGGACAAUGGGCGCAAGCCUGAUCCAGCCAUGCCGCGUGAGUGAUGAAGGCCUUCGGGUUGUAAAGCUCUUUAGCCGAUGAUUAUAAUGACUGUAGUCGGAAAAUAAGCCCCGGCUAACUUCGUGCCAGCAGCCGCGGUAAUACGAGGGGGCGAGCGUUAUUCGGAAUCACUGGGCGUAAAGCGUGCGUAGGCGGCUUUGCAAGUUGGGAGUGAAAGCCCAGGGCUCAACCCUGGAAUUGCUCUCAAAACUGCAAGGCUCGAAUUCGGGAGAGGAUAGCGGAAUUGUCAGUGUAGCAGUGAAAUGCGUAGAUAUUGACAGGAACACCAGUGGCGUAAGCGGCUAUCUGGACCGAUAUUGACGCUGAGGCACGAAAGCGUGGGGAUCAAACAGGAUUAGAAACCCGUGUAGUCC